Molecule: transfer RNA, 74 nt
Filed under: Halanaerobium saccharolyticum
Lineage: Bacteria; Bacillati; Bacillota; Clostridia; Halanaerobiales; Halanaerobiaceae
Description: tRNA-Arg
Rfam family: tRNA
About the family: Transfer RNA (tRNA) molecules are approximately 80 nucleotides in length.
Source: RNAcentral
GCGCCUGUAGCUCAACUGGAUAGAGCGUCUGACUACGGAUCAGAAGGCUAGGGGUUCGACUCCUCUCAGGUGCG